RNAcentral lists this ribosomal RNA (1495 nucleotides) under uncultured bacterium. Its description in RNAcentral is "bacterial SSU rRNA". It matches the Rfam family "Bacterial small subunit ribosomal RNA". The record is from RNAcentral.
GAGUUUGAUCCUGGCUCAGAUUGAACGCUGGCGGCAGGCUUAACACAUGCAAGUCGAGCGGGCGAGGUUGCUUCGGUAACUGAGCUAGCGGCGGACGGGUGAGUAAAGCUUAGGAAUCUGCCUAUUAGUGGGGGACAACAUUUCGAAAGGGAUGCUAAUACCGCAUACGUCCUACGGGAGAAAGCAGGGGCCCUUCGGGCCUUGCGCUAAUAGAUGAGCCUAAGUCGGAUUAGCUAGUUGGUGGGGUAAAGGCCUACCAAGGCGACGAUCUGUAGCGGGUCUGAGAGGAUGAUCCGCCACACUGGGACUGAGACACGGCCCAGACUCCUACGGGAGGCAGCAGUGGGGAAUAUUGGACAAUGGGGGGAACCCUGAUCCAGCCAUGCCGCGUGUGUGAAGAAGGCCUUUUGGUUGUAAACACUUUAAGUUGGGGAGGAGGCUUACCUGGUUAAUACCUGGGCUAAGUGGACGUUACCCACAGAAUAAGCACCGGCUAACUCUGUGCCAGCAGCCGCGGUAAUACAGAGGGUGCGAGCGUUAAUCGGAUUUACUGGGCGUAAAGCGCGCGUAGGUGGUUAAUUAAGUCAAAUGUGAAAUCCCCGAGCUUAACUUGGGAAUUGCAUUCGAUACUGGUUAGCUAGAGUAUGGGAGAGGAUGGUAGAAUUCCAGGUGUAGCGGUGAAAUGCGUAGAGAUCUGGAGGAAUACCGAUGGCGAAGGCAGCCAUCUGGCCUAAUACUGACACUGAGUGCGAAAGCAUGGGGAGCAAACAGGAUUAGAUACCCUGGUAGUCCAUGCCGUAAACGAUGUCUACUAGCCGUUGGGGGAUUUGAUCCUUUAGUGGCGCAGCUAACGCGAUAAGUAGACCGCCUGGGGAGUACGGUCGCAAGACUAAAACUCAAAUGAAUUGACGGGGGCCCGCACAAGCGGUGGAGCAUGUGGUUUAAUUCGAUGCAACGCGAAGAACCUUACCUGGCCUUGACAUAGUAGAGACUCUCCAGAGAUGGAUUGGUGCCUUCGGGAAUCUACAUACAGGUGCUGCAUGGCUGUCGUCAGCUCGUGUCGUGAGAUGUUGGGUUAAGUCCCGCAACGAGCGCAACCCUUUUCCUUACUUGCCAGCAUUUCGGAUGGGAACUUUAAGGAUACUGCCAGUGACAAACUGGAGGAAGGCGGGGACGACGUCAAGUCAUCAUGGCCCUUACGGCCAGGGCUACACACGUGCUACAAUGGUCGGUACAAAGGGUUGCUACACAGCGAUGUGAUGCUAAUCUCAAAAAGCCGAUCGUAGUCCGGAUCGCAGUCUGCAACUCGACUGCGUGAAGUCGGAAUCGCUAGUAAUCGCGGAUCAGAAUGCCGCGGUGAAUACGUUCCCGGGCCUUGUACACACCGCCCGUCACACCAUGGGAGUUUGUUGCACCAGAAGUAGGUAGUCUAACCGUAAGGAGGACGCUUACCACGGUGUGGCCGAUGACUGGGGUGAAGUCGUAACAAGGUAGC